RNAcentral lists this non-coding RNA (91 nucleotides) under bacterium. RNAcentral's name for it is "Unidentified eubacterium TPP sequence". It matches the Rfam family "TPP riboswitch aptamer (THI element)". Rfam says of the family: Vitamin B(1) in its active form thiamin pyrophosphate (TPP) is an essential coenzyme that is synthesised by coupling of pyrimidine and thiazole moieties in bacteria. The record is from RNAcentral. RNAcentral also lists the same sequence under 1 other name.
UAGAAACUUUAGGGGUGCUGUAAUGGCUGAGAAUUACCCUUAGAACCUGAAACCGAUAAUGCGGGCGAUAGGGAAAAGUGUUACAUAGCUC